RNAcentral lists this long non-coding RNA (1026 nucleotides) under Capra hircus (goat). RNAcentral describes it as "lncRNA (ENSCHIG00010017162.1)". Lineage: Eukaryota; Metazoa; Chordata; Mammalia; Artiodactyla; Bovidae. The record is from RNAcentral.
AAGUUAACACACACAAUAAAACAUCUUAAUAGUUUUAUUUUAAAAUGAUAAUGACACACAUACUAUUAACAUAUACAGCAUCAAAUGCUCUAAUAAAAAAUCUAGAACCUGAAUAACUUCCCUUUUUAGAAUAUAAAAAACACAUAAUCAACAUCAAAUUAUUUUUAUUGUUUGUCAAGAAAGUAAAAUGAAAAGCACGAUGAGAACCAUAAACUCUCAGUACACUAUAUAGUAAUAACUUGUCUUUGCUUUCUGGUAUGACAUUUGAAAAGGACACACAAGACUGCAAAGAAAUCACUUCAGCUCUGCCAAAACAGUUUAAGGUGCUCUGAAAAGGAACAGUUUUUAUUAAAGUCAUUAAGACAGUUAAACUGGCCAUUAGCAGCCUGUAGAUCCCAGCAGUAAUGGAGAAAAGCAGCUCUCUUUCUGGUACUCACCCCUUCAGGCCUCCAUGCUGAACAAUGAGUUGCCUUCUUUUAAGAUUAGGAAGGUGACUCUAGUUUUCUAAAACCUGGUAAAAAGUCAAAGACCUAAACUAUGGACCUCUGAAAAAGUAGUUUUGCUUCUCUAGGUCUAGCAAUGUUCUCAGUGGUAACAACCAGCACCAUGUUAAAGAGACAGGCAUAGGGUCACAAAUCUCCAUGAGAAAUCCAAGACCCACACCAUAGCUAUGUUCUGUUCACUAUCUGUAACAGUAUAACCUGAUCUUGCCAAAGUACUUCUAAAUAAAUAUAUUUAGAGCCCCAAACCCAAAGUUCAGGGUCUUUUGUUAACUGUGUUACCACCACUUAAAAUUCAAUUAAUUUUCAUCUUGAAUUCAGGCACUGACAGUAUAAACUAGAGCUACAUAGCUGAACACCUGGAGAAAUCAUAACUGAUGAAGGCAGUUAUCUGAGUCAUGUUAAUGCAGCCCUAGAGACACCCAGAUGAUGUUCUGAAUUGCUUCCUUUUGGUGUAGUGGUCUGCCCUCAUAUAAGGAGAAGGUAAAAGAGAUAUGCCCCAUAUAUGAGCAGAUUUAAAUAGUGG